Carya illinoinensis is the source of this 318-nucleotide long non-coding RNA. RefSeq lists it as uncharacterized. The transcript is spliced from 3 exons. The record is from RefSeq and is a predicted model, not a curated record. NCBI's taxonomy places the organism in Eukaryota, Viridiplantae, Streptophyta, Magnoliopsida, Fagales, Juglandaceae.
UUUGGGAUCGGGAGAAGAUUGUAAUAAUACCAGACCAUUACAUAUUCACGAGUGAUGAACGUGCAAACCGUAAUGUGGAUAUACUAAGGGAUUUCUGCAUGGAGCAAAACAUCAAGUACUUUUAUGAUAUUAAAGAUCUUGGUAAUUUUAUGGCUAACCCAGAUUACAAAGGUGUAUGCCAUAUUGCUCUUGCACAAGAAGGUCACUCUAGGCCUGGAGAGGUCCUGCUGGGUACAGACUCUUGCACUUGUAAAAUUGGAGCAUUUGGCCAAUUUGCCACUGGAAUUGGCAACACUGAUGCAGGUUUUGUGUUGGGCA